Molecule: non-coding RNA, 121 nt
Filed under: uncultured Butyricicoccus sp.
Lineage: Bacteria; Bacillati; Bacillota; Clostridia; Eubacteriales; Butyricicoccaceae
Description: FMN riboswitch (RFN element)
Rfam family: FMN riboswitch aptamer (RFN element)
About the family: The RFN element is a highly conserved domain that is found frequently in the 5'-untranslated regions of prokaryotic mRNAs that encode for flavin mononucleotide (FMN) biosynthesis and transport proteins. This element is a metabolite-dependent riboswitch that directly binds FMN in the absence of proteins.
Source: RNAcentral
GUUCUUCAGGGCAGGGUGGAACUCCCUACCGGCGGUAUAGCCCGCGACCCAUGGAAUAUCGUUCCAUGGCUGAUUCGGUUGAAUUCCGAAGCCGACAGUUACAGUCUGGAUGAGAGAAGAC